This 72-nucleotide transfer RNA is filed under the name Camelus bactrianus (Bactrian camel). It matches the Rfam family "tRNA". Rfam says of the family: Transfer RNA (tRNA) molecules are approximately 80 nucleotides in length. Their secondary structure includes four short double-helical elements and three loops (D, anti-codon, and T loops). The record is from Rfam by way of RNAcentral. RNAcentral also lists the same sequence under 1 other name. Lineage: Eukaryota; Metazoa; Chordata; Mammalia; Artiodactyla; Camelidae.
AGAGGUAGAGCUUAAAUGGUAGAGCACGUGCUUGCAUGCACGAGGUCCUGGGUUCAAUCCCCAGUAUCUCCA